UAACUGUCUGACUUAGUAAAUAACUCCCAAUGUCGUGAUAUGAAUCCCAUGCUGUAAACAUAGUAGGUAUCAUUGUACGUUCGCUAACUCAGACUUGGUACAAUCAUAACGUUAGUGUGAUUGUAGCGAACUAGCUGUUAAAACAUUCUAAUGUAGGUUACUGUUUUAUUUCUAUCAGUGGUCUGGCUGCAAAAGGGCAGACGCCAUUUCGCGACAGCUUCGCCAAGUUGGGGGACCUUAGAUCCUUAGUUAAAGCUGCUAACUAUAUAUUCCAGGUACACCUGUGCUGGCAUUGACCGCUUCUGCUGAUCGGGAAUCCAGAGCCAGGGUUAUGAAACAGCUUCAGAUGGACAAUCCAAUCAUUUUGGCUCUGAGCCCAAACAGAACAAACAUCAGACUGGGUCUGAUUAAAGUACCUGGCCAUACACUGGAGUGCCUACACUGGAUUGUGAGGGAUGU
Long non-coding RNA from Alosa sapidissima (American shad), 459 nucleotides. RefSeq lists it as uncharacterized. The record is from RefSeq and is a predicted model, not a curated record. The transcript has 2 exons. Lineage: Eukaryota; Metazoa; Chordata; Actinopteri; Clupeiformes; Clupeidae.